ACCUGAAGCUUCUACCUGGGGUGAGCCAGCACAGAACGGUAGCCACCUUGUUCCUUCCAUCAGACCUUAGUGGAACUGCCACAGGUGCCCUGUACCAACCCACAUGGCAGCCCUACUCAGACUAAGGUGGAAGAUGCUUUUUGGCAACUGCAGCAUGUCUCAUAUGGAAUGGGAGGCAAACUGCUUCUAAAUUCCUCAAACACAGCCUUCGGCACAACCCUGGGACCACAUGACCACAGAAUGAUGGCGACGUAUGUGGGUCAAAGAAAUUAUGAAAUAUUCAGAAUGGGUGCCCAGCUUGACCACCCUCCUUACAUGGAAGAGGAACACAUGUCACUGUAGAGAUACAGUGCUCACACCUGAAGUCUUUACAAAAUGUCUGGGUCAUUCAAACAAGAGAGCAGAUCCCUAGAUGAUUCAUGGGGUAUCACUGCCCCAUCCAACUCACUUUUCCCUGACCACCUAUCACCUCAUUCUCUGCGUCUCUUGACACAGGUGUUUGAACGCUGCAGGUAGAAGUGCUCAGUGCCAAGUUCUGCAAAUGAUGAACAACCCUGAAAUAUUUGUGAAAGCAAAGAAGAAAAGCUGGAAAGAAAGAAGAUUGAAUGAGUCGAAGAGAAGGAAGGAUAAUUAGUACUGAUCCUAAUUUCAGACAGGCCUGAUGCCAACUCACCAUAUAUUCUAAAUGCUAUGCAUUUGAUCGCAAGUAUUAGGAUGUAUGAGGAGACGACCUCCAUUGUCUGAGGCAUUUCCAUGGAAAGGAUGGAGCUGGAGUUUAGCAAAAAACCAACCUAGCCAUCAGAAGACAACCAAUCAAAUGUGCUGAGCUCAGAAUUGGGCCAGGUUUUGGAUAUUACACCAGAAGCCUCCUAUGUAUGAAGAAUGCACAUCUAAGCCGAAAGCAAAGGUCACCUUGUUCACAUUUGCCUGUGAAGAACAGAGAAAGAGAUCCGCCAUGUGAGCAGAAGAGAUGGCCAGCAAAGGAGACCUGGAAUGCAAGGAUUCUGAACUACAAGGAGAGAUGGUCUAAUCAUAUCUUCAGCUUGAACAGUCAUAUUAGUAACUCUACCUUUGAUCACAAAGAGACACUAGUAAGGCCCAAAGCAAUGGAGCCAGCUGAUCGUGGACUGAACCAAUGAAACCACGAGUUGUUCUGACUGUCAGGCUUUCUGUGGCUGUUUGGACCCCAGCUGACAUGGGUGGAGCUAGAUACUCUACCACCUGCCUUCACUUCCUGUCCAGCCUUCUGCCCACCUGCCAGGCCAUGACCACACAGAAGCUCAGAGAAGAAGGAGAUUUGUGUGGAAUGAAGACAUCUUCCUGGUCUCCUCUGAGGAAGCUGGGUUUCGGUUGGGUUUUGAUAUAUGGGUAAGAUUCAGGAAAGUACAGAGAGGUUAUCCCUAAUUUUGGAGCUGUAAGGAAGGACACAGUGGCAACAAGUCCAAAGAAAUAGAAAACAAUUUAUGUAGAUCUAGGAAGGAAAAUAUGGCCCUGAGGGAAGGAUGGGAGCAAACUAAAGUCCCUAGGCAAACUGUGACCUUAUCAUGACCAGGAGAUCAGGGAGAAAGCUAUUCACUCUUCCUCCCAGAAUGAGACGAGACAUGAUAGAGAGGAGCAGGCCUAUUUGGGGUCCCAGAGUCCCUGUUCAAGCAUUGUCAAUCUUCUUUAUACCAUAGAUUCCUUUGGCAGUCUGAUGAAGCUGACUGACUCUAUUUCAGGAUGAUGCUGACAUAAGGUGGGAUAGAAACACGAAGGAAACCAAUUAUGUCAAAAUGGAGUCAUCAAAAAAUUUUUGAAGUGUUUGCUUUGUGUUAACCCAUUAAAUGAGUGCUUUUCAAGC
Molecule: long non-coding RNA, 1840 nt
Organism: Ictidomys tridecemlineatus (thirteen-lined ground squirrel)
Lineage: Eukaryota; Metazoa; Chordata; Mammalia; Rodentia; Sciuridae
Source: RefSeq, a predicted model, not a curated record